AGUAAUAGAUUUUUGCACUGCCUGAAAAAACGAUAUCAGUGUGCAGGUGCAGCUUGAAGCAUUUUCAGUGGGCGCUGAUUUUUUCUACAAACUCAUCGAUGAAACGGCAUGGAUUAGCUCAAGGCACCUGGAAAUGGCAACCUUUCUUA
Molecule: non-coding RNA, 149 nt
Organism: Prunus mume (Japanese apricot)
Lineage: Eukaryota; Viridiplantae; Streptophyta; Magnoliopsida; Rosales; Rosaceae
Source: RefSeq, a predicted model, not a curated record